Balaenoptera ricei (Rice's whale) is the source of this 3024-nucleotide long non-coding RNA. RefSeq lists it as uncharacterized. The transcript has 3 exons. Lineage: Eukaryota; Metazoa; Chordata; Mammalia; Artiodactyla; Balaenopteridae. The record is from RefSeq and is a predicted model, not a curated record.
ACCCAGGCGACCAGCCGGCCUACUGCCCGGCGCUCGCCCAGAACGCGCGGUGAGCCUCCGCAGACCCUGGGCGCGCCUCCCAGCCCGGGCGGGGAUUUGGCCCGGAGCCCCUGAGAGGUCGGGGAUGGUGACCCCGGGGAAGCCCCGCCCCUUCUUUGCUCCUCUUUCCGCAAACUGCGAGGACGGGAGUGGAGGGAACCUAGCCAAAGUGCACGCCCCGCGGGCCGGCCUGGGCGUGUAUGAUCGUAACCCUGCUUCCGCCAGGAAAGCCGCGGGGCCGGCGGCUGGAGGGCCCUGGGCGGUGGCUGAGGGGGCGGGCGGCCCGGGCGGCGCCGCGUCUCCGUCCUUAUAAGGGAUUCAAGUCAGCCCAGCCAUGUGGAAUGUGGCGGGGACCGGGAGGCGGUGCUGGGACGCCCCCUGCUCGCGGAUUCCGGCGGGGGAAGGGGGGGCAGAGCCCGGACGCCAGGUCCCAGGAGGAGAAGCCUGCACGUUCGAAUUUCUGGGUCCUUCAAAAUGUGAGUUCUGGGCCCCCAUAAGGUGGGCCGGGAGCCUGGACCCCCCCAAGAGGGUCUCUAAGAGAGGAGUGGCUGUGUACCCGGACCCCUGGGUUCGCCUUGCGGACGCCUCCCGCCCCGCGGCGGGAAACUGUGCACAGUGUUGGAAUCCAGUCCAGAGAGAGUGGCCACACCUCCCAGCACCUCCCGUAAGGCUGGUCUCCUGGCUACAGCUGGACCUCCCGGGCCACCUCCCGCUUCCCCCGACCCGUUAGGAGGAAGUUGGGACAGGCCCAGGAGGCAGAGGGCGGGCCACAGUCAGUUAAGUCUCCCCUGGAAGGUAAGUUAGCGCACGGACCACCCGGAGGGGAGGGGUCCGUCUCCACUCUCCGAGCCCCCAGCCGUCGCCUGAGGUCAGAGCUCAGGAAUGAACUGCCAGAGACCCGAGGAGGGAGAGGAAAACACCCUUUGGCUUCCUGGAGACGCUGAGGACUUCGCUAGCCACGCCCCAGUCCUCUCCCCACCUUCAGGCCAAACACCACACCCCAUCACUCCGCAAACUCAGAAGCGCGCCCUGAGCCCCAGCCUGUGCUCUCAGCACCAAGGGGCCCAGCUCCAUCUUCACUUUGGGACCACGGGUGCUAAAGCUCCGUCUCUGGCCUUUUGAGUCUAAAGUUCGGAUUCUGCCCCCUGGAUGGGGAGGAGGGACUGAAGACAUUUGGAAUCCCUCUGCACCCAAGAAUCCUGGACGCUGCUCCCACUCUCGGGGGUUCCCGCAGCCUCACCUUACGGGCCUGUGGCGGCUGCGGCUGGAGCAGAGGCGACAGCUGCAGGCUAGGAGGGUCUGCGGUCUGGGUGCGGUUGGAGGGCCGGGGAGUGAGCGCGGGCAGGGCUGGGGGCGGGGCCGGAACUCUGGGCUGGAGCCGAGUAAGGGUCUCCCCCUGCCAGGGCUAUCCCAGUCCCGCCCCGAGGGCGGGGCCAAGGUAAGACCACCUCCCCAGAGAUGAUAAAUUCACAGCCUCUCUCCCGCCCCGCCAGCGGUAGGGGUGGAGGGCUGAGGUCACUGUUUCCGUGGUGAGAAAACAGGAAGACACAACAGCUGGCGGAGUGGAGGCUCCUGGGGGGUGCCCUCCUCGACACAGCACUGGAGAAGUCUCCAGGGCAGGCCUGGGGAAGGCCGUUGCCAUGGCAACCCGUCUGUUUAGACUUUGUUUACGACAGAGCCCCCCAGCUCAGGUCCCCACCCCAGUCUCACCUCAAUCCGUUCUUCCUCUCCCUUCCUGGCCCCUCCCUCCUCCUCUGCUUCGGCCCUGCUCUUCCAGGAUGGACGAAAUUUUGGACAUCUAGGUCGCGGUGGGUUGGGGGGACUGGGCCUCUCAAUUUAAUGGGGUCUGUUUGCUAGGGUCUGUGUCUCCUGGGUCCCUGAAAUACGAAAGAGUUGAGGGUGUGCCGAUCCCUAGGCUUUAGGGGGUUUCUGGGCUGAGGUCCCUGACUCCUGGGUCCCCAAAAGAACAGUGGUUGGAUUCCUGUAAGUAAGGAAUUUGAGGGAGGAGCAAAAUGGGUCUCCUAAUCCUCAUUUACACCGGGAUUCGCGGUGUAAGGGACUGAUGGGCCGGACCCCUAGGUCCCAUAUGUCCCUGUCGAUGGGGGCAGGGGAGGGGGGGUUGUUGGUAGCAGGACUUCUGAGAUCGAGGCCAUAGGAGUUGGGGGCAUGGACUCCCCGGCCGCGGGCCCAGAAUCUUGGCUCAAAAGAGCAAUUGCGGCUCAGGCUCCUGGGUUUUCGGAGCAGAUGUGUUUGCUAGCCAAGCCUCUUGGGUCUGGAAGGGAGAGAUAUUUUUGGCUUGCAAUUCUGGCUCCUGGAAAGAGGGAGGGGCUCAGAAGCUUAAAGAGGACGAGGCUGGGGGCUGGGGGUGCCAGAUUCCUGGUUCCUGCAAGAGGGGAGGGCCCAUGGGGCUGGUCUGCCCGGGCCCCAGAGCACGGGGGUCCUUUUUUAGGGGCAGCUCUGAAGCCCUGAGACGGAUUGACAGAGCCAAGAAGCAAGCGGGCGCUGAAGGUCGGAUGCACUGCCCGGGGCUGGGGUGGGGCGGGGACCGGGACGCCCGGGUCCCUCCCUGCUGGCCGGGCUCACUCACCGCGCUCUGCAGUCGUCCCCGGCGCGGCCUUGCUCUAGGCUGCCGCUGGGCGGGGCCUCGUGGCGGCUGCGGAGGCUCGGCGACCGGCAGCUGCCGGCGUUGCUACUGCUGGGUGUCUUCCAGGCCGACUACUGAGAAGGCUUUGAGGCCGAGCCCCAGAGUGGAAGACUCUCGCGUCGCGAAGGGAGGGGUCCGAAGGGAUGCGGGAGCUCUGUGUCCCCGGAUGCGUGCCCUACGGAGGAGAGCGACCCAGCCCCAAAGAUGCUGUCUCCAACCUGGCACUGAAACCCAGUCUCAAACAGGACGUGCCUCUGUUCUAUGAGAGUAGCUGCUUUCGGGUGAUCAAGUACACGGCCCCACCCCCUAACUUCCUAAUAAACUGGGUUCCCUGAUCAGAA